UACAGAGGUCUCAAGCGUUGUUCGGAUUCAUUGGGCGUAAAGGGUGCGUAGGCGGCGCGGUAAGUCGGGUGUGAAAUCUCGGAGCUUAACUCCGAAACUGCAUUCGAUACUGCCGUGCUUGAGGACUGGAGAGGAGACUGGAAUUUACGGUGUAGCGGUGAAAUGCGUAGAUAUCGUAAGGAAGACCAGUGGCGAAGGCGAAUCUCUGGACAGUUGCUGACACUGAGGCACGAAGGCCAGGGGAGCAAACGGG
RNAcentral lists this ribosomal RNA (253 nucleotides) under uncultured bacterium. Its description in RNAcentral is "partial 16S ribosomal RNA". It matches the Rfam family "Bacterial small subunit ribosomal RNA", at positions 524 to 776 of the family's 1533-position model. The record is from RNAcentral.